UACGUAGGUGGCGAGCGUUGUCCGGAUUUACUGGGCGUAAAGCGUCCGCAGGCGGUCUGUUAAGUUGGGGUGAAAGGUUGGGGCCCAACCCACACGGCCCGUACUACUGCAGACUGGAGUCUCGGAGAGGAGAACGGAACUAGCACGUGUAGCGGUGAAAUGCGUUGAGAUGUGCAGGAACACCAGUGGCGAAAGCGGUUCUCUAGACGAGUACUGACGCUGAGGGACGAAAGCCAGGGGAGCGAAC
RNAcentral lists this ribosomal RNA (247 nucleotides) under uncultured bacterium. Its description in RNAcentral is "partial 16S ribosomal RNA". It matches the Rfam family "Bacterial small subunit ribosomal RNA", at positions 524 to 773 of the family's 1533-position model. The record is from RNAcentral.